AUGGUCCAUCCUCCGGCCCAUCCCAUUUCCUGCGGCCUUGCCGGACGAUCGAGGUGUGCCCCUUGCUGUGUGGAUGAACUGAACCACCAAACAGAUUCCACGAUGAUAGCAAGCUACAACGAUUUCUCCUGCAUGAAUUUCUGUUUUUGUUGUGGCAGUCCCUUACGAGUUGGGCCCUUCAGAUCUUACCAAAUCGAGUACCAACCUGAAACAGCGAACGGAGCCAAGUUUAUGGUCAUCCCCUUUUCUGAAUUGUUUUUUGGAAAGACAAGUGACCUUCUGGGAAGCUGCCAGUUAGACUGCGGUGGGAAGCAGAAGGCACAGCAGCGUACAAGCUAG
This 339-nucleotide long non-coding RNA is filed under the name Phascolarctos cinereus (koala). RNAcentral describes it as "lncRNA (ENSPCIG00000034531.1)". The record is from RNAcentral. Lineage: Eukaryota; Metazoa; Chordata; Mammalia; Diprotodontia; Phascolarctidae.